GGAGAACAAGGUGGACGAGGAGGACGAGGACUUCUGCACGGUAUAACCCGAGGUGGUUAUCAGUGGUUGUUGGAGGUUUUUGGUGAUGGUUGGGUGUGUUCGGAGGUGGACGAGGAGGAGAACGAGAAAUACGAGGAGAGCAAGAUGGACGAGGAUGACUAGGAUUUGUGUACUGUAUAACCCGAGGUGGUUAUCGGUGGUUGUUGGCGGUGGUCGGAGGUGGACGAGGAGGAGGGCGAGGAAGACGUGGAGAACAAAGUUGACGAGGAGGACGAGGAUUUGUGCUAGGUAUAACCCGAGGUGGAUUAGCAGCAUCCUGAAAAUGAUGGUGACGCCCACGGGUGACGCCUGUUCGAUGUCAGCUGCUGACAAAAAUGUGUGGCGGGUAAUCUAACAUGAGGGUUUGACUUUUGGGCCACACAGAUAGUGAAUUUUUUGGCGUGUGUGAUUGAAAAUGAUUAAUAAAUUUAUCAGUCUGUAGGUUUGAAACAAAAUUUCAUGCCAUCAAUUUAAUUAUCUAGAUUUGCACGGGUAAAUAGUGUUUGCGUACGAAUUCUACAACCAUCCAUCGGGUUUCAGUAUGGAACGUAACUUGUAUAAUACAGUGAACUGCAAUAUAUUACAGUCGAGGUCACAUAGCAAUGCAAAAGAAUGAUUAAAUAUUGAAUAAUAAAUCUGAAUAUUACGUCAGAAAAAAAAGUGCAACGAAUAUCAUCUCAUGCUAAAAAUGAGGGAUAUUGUGAAAUACAGUGAUUAUCGUAAAUUGGAGGUAUUACUUAAGUAAUGGCCUGCGUGCAGGUGUAAUGCUCUUUCGCAGAACAUAACAUGAAUGAUACUCUAUCAUUAGUACUU
Molecule: long non-coding RNA, 852 nt
Filed under: Neodiprion pinetum (white pine sawfly)
Lineage: Eukaryota; Metazoa; Arthropoda; Insecta; Hymenoptera; Diprionidae
Description: uncharacterized LOC124216300
Source: RNAcentral